AGAGUUUGAUCCUGGCUCAGGACGAACGCUGGCGCGUGCCUAAUACAUGCAAGUCGAGCGAGCGGAACCAACAGAUUUACUUCGGUAAUGACGUUGGGAAAGCGAGCGGCGGAUGGGUGAGUAACACGUGGGGAACCUGCCCCUAAGUCUGGGAUACCAUUUGGAAACAGGUGCUAAUACCGGAUAAUAAAGCAGAUCGCAUGAUCAGCUUUUGAAAGGCGGCGUAAGCUGUCGCUAAGGGAUGGCCCCGCGGUGCAUUAGCUAGUUGGUAAGGUAACGGCUUACCAAGGCGACGAUGCAUAGCCGAGUUGAGAGACUGAUCGGCCACAUUGGGACUGAGACACGGCCCAAACUCCUACGGGAGGCAGCAGUAGGGAAUCUUCCACAAUGGACGCAAGUCUGAUGGAGCAACGCCGCGUGAGUGAAGAAGGUUUUCGGAUCGUAAAGCUCUGUUGUUGGUGAAGAAGGAUAGAGGUAGUAACUGGCCUUUAUUUGACGGUAAUCAACCAGAAAGUCACGGCUAACUACGUGCCAGCAGCCGCGGUAAUACGUAGGUGGCAAGCGUUGUCCGGAUUUAUUGGGCGUAAAGCGAGCGCAGGCGGAAAAAUAAGUCUAAUGUGAAAGCCCUCGGCUUAACCGAGGAACUGCAUCGGAAACUGUUUUUCUUGAGUGCAGAAGAGGAGAGUGGAACUCCAUGUGUAGCGGUGGAAUGCGUAGAUAUGUGGAAGAACACCAGUGGCGAAGGCGGCUCUCUGGUCUGCAACUGACGCUGAGGCUCGAAAGCAUGGGUAGCGAACAGGAUUAGAUACCCUGGUAGUCCAUGCCGUAAACGAUGAGUGCUAAGUGUUGGGAGGUUUCCGCCUCUCAGUGCUGCAGCUAACGCAUUAAGCACUCCGCCUGGGGAGUACGACCGCAAGGUUGAAACUCAAAGGAAUUGACGG
This 941-nucleotide ribosomal RNA is filed under the name uncultured bacterium. RNAcentral describes it as "bacterial SSU rRNA". It matches the Rfam family "Bacterial small subunit ribosomal RNA", at positions 8 to 916 of the family's 1533-position model. The record is from RNAcentral.